AACGAACGCUGGCGGCAGGCCUAACACAUGCAAGUCGAACGCGCGUAGCAAUACGCGAGUGGCGCACGGGUGAGUAACACGUGGGAACCAACCCAGAGGUUCGGAAUAACCGCGGGAAACUGCGGCUAAUACCGGAUAUCCCCUACGGGGGAAAGAUUUAUCGCCUCUGGACGGGCCCGCGUCCGAUUAGCUAGUUGGUGAGGUAAUGGCUCACCAAGGCGACGAUCGGUAGCUGGUCUGAGAGGACGACCAGCCACACUGGAACUGAGACACGGUCCAGACUCCUACGGGAGGCAGCAGUGGGGAAUAUUGGGCAAUGGAGGCAACUCUGACCCAGCCAUGCCGCGUGGGUGACGAAGGUCUUCGGAUUGUAAAGACCCUUUCGGUCGGGGACGAUGAUGACGGUACCCGCAGAAGAA
RNAcentral lists this ribosomal RNA (419 nucleotides) under uncultured bacterium. RNAcentral describes it as "bacterial SSU rRNA". It matches the Rfam family "Bacterial small subunit ribosomal RNA", at positions 29 to 489 of the family's 1533-position model. The record is from RNAcentral.